This 329-nucleotide unclassified non-coding RNA is filed under the name soil metagenome. RNAcentral's name for it is "partial contains 5.8S ribosomal RNA, internal transcribed spacer 2, and large subunit ribosomal RNA". The stretch from base 1 to 120 matches the Rfam family "5.8S ribosomal RNA", at positions 35 to 154 of the family's 154-position model. The record is from RNAcentral.
GAUGAAGAACGCAGCGAAAUGCGAUAAGUAGUGUGAAUUGCAGAAUUCAGUGAAUCAUCGAAUCUUUGAACGCACAUCGCGCCCCUUGGUAUCCCGAGGGGCAUGCCUGUUCGAGCGUCAUUUCACCACUCAAGCCUGGCUUGGUGUUGGGCGACGUCCUCUUUGGGGACGCGCCUCGAAACGCUCGGCGGCGUGGCACCGGCUUUAAGCGUAGCAGAAUCUUUCGCUUUGGAAGUCGGGGCCCCGUCUGCCGGAAGACCUGCUCGCAAGGUUGACCUCGGAUCAGGCAGGGAUACCCGCUGAACUUAAGCAUAUCAAUAAGCGGAGGA